AUCCUACUGACGAGUCUCAGAUAAGACGAGACGCUCGUCCAGGAU
Molecule: non-coding RNA, 45 nt
Organism: Schistosoma curassoni
Lineage: Eukaryota; Metazoa; Platyhelminthes; Trematoda; Strigeidida; Schistosomatidae
Source: Rfam